RNAcentral lists this transfer RNA (75 nucleotides) under Clostridiales bacterium. RNAcentral's name for it is "tRNA-Thr". It matches the Rfam family "tRNA". From Rfam's summary of the family: Transfer RNA (tRNA) molecules are approximately 80 nucleotides in length. Lineage: Bacteria; Bacillati; Bacillota; Clostridia; Eubacteriales. The record is from RNAcentral.
GCUGGUGUAGCUCAAUGGCAGAGCAGUUGAUUUGUAAUCAUCAGGUUGUAGGUUCGACUCCUAUCACCAGCUCCA